RNAcentral lists this non-coding RNA (30 nucleotides) under Mus musculus (house mouse). The record is from RNAcentral. Lineage: Eukaryota; Metazoa; Chordata; Mammalia; Rodentia; Muridae.
UCAUUUUUAAUCCUAAGUGGUAUCCUACCU